RNAcentral lists this transfer RNA (67 nucleotides) under Anomala corpulenta. RNAcentral's name for it is "tRNA-Phe". Lineage: Eukaryota; Metazoa; Arthropoda; Insecta; Coleoptera; Scarabaeidae. The record is from RNAcentral. RNAcentral also lists the same sequence under 1 other name.
AUUUAAAUAGCUUAUGUAUAGAGUAUGAUAGUGAAGUUAUCAGGGAAGUAGAGUUUACUUUUAAAUA